Molecule: transfer RNA, 73 nt
Filed under: Corynebacterium sp.
Lineage: Bacteria; Bacillati; Actinomycetota; Actinomycetes; Mycobacteriales; Corynebacteriaceae
Also listed under: 10 other names
Description: tRNA-Ala
Rfam family: tRNA
About the family: Transfer RNA (tRNA) molecules are approximately 80 nucleotides in length. Their secondary structure includes four short double-helical elements and three loops (D, anti-codon, and T loops).
Source: RNAcentral
GGGGCAUUGGCGCAGUUGGUAGCGCGACUCGUUCGCAUCGAGUAGGUCAGGGGUUCGAUUCCCCUAUGCUCCA